This 253-nucleotide ribosomal RNA is filed under the name uncultured bacterium. RNAcentral's name for it is "partial 16S ribosomal RNA". It matches the Rfam family "Bacterial small subunit ribosomal RNA", at positions 524 to 776 of the family's 1533-position model. The record is from RNAcentral.
UACGGGGGGGGCAAGCGUUGUUCGGAAUUACUGGGCGUAAAGGGCUCGUAGGCGGCCAACUAAGUCAGACGUGAAAUCCCUCGGCUUAACCGGGGAACUGCAUCUGAUACUGGAUGGCUUGAGUUCGGGAGAGGGAUGUGGAAUUCCAGGUGUAGCGGUGAAAUGCGUAGAUAUCUGGAGGAACAUCGGUGGCGAAGGCGGCAUCCUGGACCGGUAUUGACGCUGAGGCGCGAAAGCCAGGGGAGCAAACGGG